AAGAAUUGAAAGUUGAGUUGCUAAACUUAAUCAACAAUGUUGAUAAAAAUGAAGAUUGCCAACGUAGGUGUUAAGUUUCCAUCAGUAGUGGCAAAACUUGUGAAAACAGACUGAAGUCAUUGGUACAUCAUUAGUGAAGACCGGACUACACCCUGAAACACAUGAGAUACACACCAUUAACUCUUCCAAAGGCUAUACUAAUUCCAAACAUGGAAUAACUGCCACCCAUUUCAUGGCAAAUCUCUUUCUAAUGUGGAUACCUUUCUUAGAAAGAAGCGAUAAGCCUUUGA
RNAcentral lists this long non-coding RNA (290 nucleotides) under Homo sapiens (human). RNAcentral's name for it is "non-protein coding lnc-ARHGEF26-10:1". Lineage: Eukaryota; Metazoa; Chordata; Mammalia; Primates; Hominidae. The record is from RNAcentral.